GGACUACACGGGUAUCUAAUCCUGUUUGCUCCCCACGCUUUCGUAGUUGAGUGUCAGUGCCCGUCCAGGUCGCCGCCUUCGCCUCUGGUGUUCCUCCCGAUCUCUACGCAUUUCACCGCUACACCGGGAAUUCCACGACCCUCUCCGGGACUCCAGUCUCACCGUUUCUGGGGCACUUCUUGAGUUAAGCCCAAGGCUUUCACCCCAGACAAAUGAGACCACCUACCUACCCUUUACGCCCAAUAAUUCCGAGCAACGCUUGCACCCCUCGUAUUACCGCGGCUGCUGGCAC
This 292-nucleotide ribosomal RNA is filed under the name uncultured bacterium. RNAcentral's name for it is "partial 16S ribosomal RNA". The record is from RNAcentral.